GACCAUUCGUUUUAAUUCGGAGAUUUUUCGGACCUUCGGGUACAAUUGAGGACAGGUGGUGCAGUGGUUGUCGUCAGCUCGUGUCGUGAGAUGUUGGGUUAAGUCCCGCAACGAGCGCAACCCUUGUGUUUUAGUUGCAAACAGGUCAAGCUGUGCACUCUAGACAGACUGCCGUGGACAACACGGAGGAAGGUGGGGAUGACGUCAAAUCAUCAUGCCCCUUAUGAUCUGGGCUACACACGUGCUACAAUGGCCGGUACAACGGGCAGCGAAGGAGCGAUCCGGAGCGAAUCCUAAAAAGCCGGUCCCAGUUCGGAUUGCAGGCUGAAACUCGCCUACAUGAAGUUGGAGUUGCUAGUAAUCGCGAAUCAGAAUGUCGCGGUGAAUGCGUUCCCGGGUCUU
This 402-nucleotide ribosomal RNA is filed under the name uncultured Fusibacter sp. RNAcentral's name for it is "bacterial SSU rRNA". It matches the Rfam family "Bacterial small subunit ribosomal RNA", at positions 977 to 1382 of the family's 1533-position model. Lineage: Bacteria; Bacillati; Bacillota; Clostridia; Eubacteriales; Fusibacteraceae. The record is from RNAcentral.